This 182-nucleotide ribosomal RNA is filed under the name uncultured Staphylococcus sp. Its description in RNAcentral is "partial 16S ribosomal RNA". It matches the Rfam family "Bacterial small subunit ribosomal RNA", at positions 158 to 334 of the family's 1533-position model. The record is from RNAcentral. Lineage: Bacteria; Bacillati; Bacillota; Bacilli; Caryophanales; Staphylococcaceae.
CGGAGCUAAUACCGGAUAAUAUAUUGAACCGCAUGGUUCAAUAGUGAAAGACGGUUUUGCUGUCACUUAUAGAUGGAUCCGCGUCGCAUUAGCUAGUUGGUAAGGUAACGGCUUACCAAGGCAACGAUGCGUAGCCGACCUGAGAGGGUGAUCGGCCACACUGGAACUGAGACACGGUCCAG